GCUUCGCAUAGGUACUAAGGAAAGCACAGCUUUCAUUUUUAGUAGAGGUGCCUCGGGACGUGAAAAAUGCCAACUGGCCUCAAUGGGGCAAGUGUGUCCACUGGAAACUUAGAAGCAAAAGGAACCCAGAAAGGGAAGGGCAAUGAAAGGUUCUUCUGCUAAAAGAAAUUUGAAGACAACACUGCUCUACAGAAUAGACUCAGCGGAAAUGCUCCACUGUGGCCCUCCUCACGCUGCACUAACUGCUGACCUGGGGGCCCGUGUUCCAGCAGAUGCUUAGUAAGUUAUGCAGAAUGAACCGAGAUGAAGUGGCAGAGGAGCGAACAGGCUUGUAAGCUGGCCCAGAAAUAAUGCUUCCAAACAGUCUAUAAAUACUCCCUGUUUGGGUGCUCAUUCUUUUCACUGAGAUUUGGUUGAAGGAGAAAUGAAGGGCAGAGAGGACUACAGUCAAACGAGUGCACACAAGCCGCAUGGAGCCAGGGGGUUCUUUCACAGACUUCUCCACUGAUAUGGGGGCUGCUUCUUGCUCUGCCCGAGGACAGGCCUCAGCUGGCGUGGAUGGGUGGUCAGAUUAAAAUAGGCCUUGUGAAGGAAGAAGCAGGUCAGUAACACCCCGUUUCCACAAAAGUGGUUUUGCCUGGGCUCAGGUCUUGCUGACCUGUCUGGACAACAA
Molecule: long non-coding RNA, 673 nt
Organism: Canis lupus familiaris (dog)
Lineage: Eukaryota; Metazoa; Chordata; Mammalia; Carnivora; Canidae
Exons: 3
Source: RefSeq, a predicted model, not a curated record